Molecule: ribosomal RNA, 425 nt
Filed under: uncultured bacterium
Lineage: Bacteria
Description: bacterial SSU rRNA
Rfam family: Bacterial small subunit ribosomal RNA
Source: RNAcentral
UGGGGAAUAUUGCACAAUGGGCGAAAGCCUGAUGCAGCCAUGCCGCGUGUGUGAAGAAGGCUCUAGGGUUGUAAAGCACUUUCAGUAGGGAGGAAAGGUUGAUGGUUAAUACCCAUCAGCUGUGACGUUACCUACAGAAGAAGCACCGGCUAACUCCGUGCCAGCAGCCGCGGUAAUACGGAGGGUGCAAGCGUUAAUCGGAAUUACUGGGCGUAAAGCGUGCGUAGGCGGCUACCUAAGUUGGAUGUGAAAGCCCCGGGCUCAACCUGGGAACUGCAUCCAAAACUGGGUGGCUAGAGUGCGAGAGAGGAGUGUGGAAUUUCCUGUGUAGCGGUGAAAUGCGUAGAUAUAGGAAGGAACACCAGUGGCGAAGGCGACACUCUGGCUUGACACUGACGCUGAGGUACGAAAGCGUGGGGAGCAAA